This is a non-coding RNA of Ceratotherium simum simum (southern white rhinoceros), 255 nucleotides long. The record is from RefSeq and is a predicted model, not a curated record. NCBI's taxonomy places the organism in Eukaryota, Metazoa, Chordata, Mammalia, Perissodactyla, Rhinocerotidae.
UCUAAGCCCUUUUGCUGUUCAUUUCUUCCCUACACUCCAAAGCAAUGUCCAUUUCUGAUGUCAGCAGGAGUGCAAUCCACAAACCUUUAGACUCAGGUGGCCCUUGUUUCUGAGACACAGAGUAAGAGAUGCAGAGAAGCAUUUCGCUGGGGUAUGAAUGAUGUUAGUCAUAAGAGCAGAUAGUGAGGAUUAUGGGUCAUGCUGUGCCACUGCUGAGUGACAGAGGUGCCCCAUGUGUCUGUAAUAAACCAACUG